GACGGGGGGGGCAAGCGUUGUUCGGAAUUACUGGGCGUAAAGGGCUCGUAGGCGGCCAACUAAGUCAGACGUGAAAUCCCUCGGCUUAACCGGGGAACUGCGUCUGAUACUGGAUGGCUUGAGUUUGGGAGAGGGAUGCGGAAUUCCAGGUGUAGCGGUGAAAUGCGUAGAUAUCUGGAGGAACACCGGUGGCGAAGGCGGCAUCCUGGACCGACACUGACGCUGAGGAGCGAAAGCCAGGGGAGCAAACGGG
RNAcentral lists this ribosomal RNA (253 nucleotides) under uncultured bacterium. Its description in RNAcentral is "partial 16S ribosomal RNA". It matches the Rfam family "Bacterial small subunit ribosomal RNA", at positions 524 to 776 of the family's 1533-position model. The record is from RNAcentral.